RNAcentral lists this small nucleolar RNA (214 nucleotides) under Nicotiana attenuata. RNAcentral's name for it is "snoRNA Plant_U3". It matches the Rfam family "Plant small nucleolar RNA U3". Rfam says of the family: Small nucleolar RNAs (snoRNAs) are involved in the processing and modification of rRNA in the nucleolus. There are two main classes of snoRNAs: the box C/D class, and the box H/ACA class. Lineage: Eukaryota; Viridiplantae; Streptophyta; Magnoliopsida; Solanales; Solanaceae. The record is from Rfam by way of RNAcentral.
AUGAAUUAAUUUAAAAGGAUCUGUUCUAUAGGCUCGUACCACUGUAUCCUUGAGUUUUAAGGAGACAGAAAACCAAGUCUGGUUGAUGAGACAUGGCCAUUAGACCAGAGCGUGAUUAACAGUAGACACGACCCUCGGGUUAUGGUGCCGUAGAUGAUCGUUCUCAACCCCUAACCAUGGGUAUUGGGAUGGUCUAAUGGCUGUUUGACAAACU